This 759-nucleotide ribosomal RNA is filed under the name Penicillium paneum. Its description in RNAcentral is "eukaryotic LSU rRNA". The stretch from base 411 to 563 matches the Rfam family "5.8S ribosomal RNA". The record is from RNAcentral. Lineage: Eukaryota; Fungi; Ascomycota; Eurotiomycetes; Eurotiales; Aspergillaceae.
GCGCUUUUUUUUAGGCGCCGGCCAGCACAAACCAUCAUAUGAACGAAUGAGACAGUGAGAGUUCAAGAAGCCAUAGUAAUCUCAGACAUUUUCGGGUUGAUGGCGGCGGGCGAUGCUGAGCCUCCACGGCCCCAUGAGCGCGGAACUCCAAAUCAGUGAUUAAAAAGACGGGUGGUCCUGGAUCCCAUGGCCCCUCACCCGACUCUUCCGUAGGUGAACCUGCGGAAGGAUCAUUACCGAGUGAGGGCCCUCUGGGUCCAACCUCCCACCCGUGUUUAUUUACCUUAUUGCUUCGGCGGGCCCGCCUUCACUGGCCGCCGGGGGGCUCACGCCCCCGGGCCCGCGCCCGCCGAAGACACCCCGAACUCUGUCUGAAGAAUGAAGUCUGAGUGAAAAUAUAAAUUAUUUAAAACUUUCAACAACGGAUCUCUUGGUUCCGGCAUCGAUGAAGAACGCAGCGAAAUGCGAUACGUAAUGUGAAUUGCAAAUUCAGUGAAUCAUCGAGUCUUUGAACGCACAUUGCGCCCCCUGGUAUUCCGGGGGGCAUGCCUGUCCGAGCGUCAUUGCUGCCCUCAAGCCCGGCUUGUGUGUUGGGCCUCGUCCUCCGAUUCCGGGGGACGGGCCCGAAAGGCAGCGGCGGCACCGCGUCCGGUCCUCGAGCGUAUGGGGCUCUGUCACCCGCUCUGUAGGCCCGGCCGGCGCUUGCCGAUCAACCCAAAUUUUUAUCCAGGUGACCUCGAUCAGGUAGGAGCCCAAUCU